Molecule: long non-coding RNA, 3704 nt
Organism: Peromyscus eremicus (cactus mouse)
Lineage: Eukaryota; Metazoa; Chordata; Mammalia; Rodentia; Cricetidae
Exons: 4
Source: RefSeq, a predicted model, not a curated record
CUGGAGUUUCACCUGUUGGUUCUAAUGGCAAAGGAUUCAGGAAAGAUGCUUGUCAAGAGAUGAGGAUCCCAGGCUCUUUCCAUCAGCUUCCCCAUUUCCACUAAGCCCCAGUAUGGAAAUCAAUAGUUGCUAGAUAUUACAGUUUUCCAGUCGACUUAGUUCUCAUGUGACAGCUGUUUUCCUUCUUUAAAGAGAAGUCUUGGGGCUGAGGGGCUCAAGACAUCUGCUUCUUAAUUAAGAUUGUGUGGAUCAAGGGAACUCCACUCCAUCUGUCUUGAUGACAAACACCCAAAGCAGGAGCUAAUAAGGACCAGCCACAUGCUCUAGAACCAGGCAUGGAGACACACACACACACACCUAUAAUCCCUCUGCCUCUAGGGAGGCAGAGACUGGAGGAUUGUGAGUUCAAGGCCUGUGUGGACUUCAUAGUGAGACCUAACUCAAACAAGAGACAACAGCAAAAAGAAACUGAAAACUCAGCUUCUACAGGCCAGUUCCAGCCUGGAAUUCUACUGUGAUAUCACUCAAUACAGUUGGAAUGGCAUGGUCUCCGAACGGCAUGCAUGGUUUUUGGCCCCACAGCCUUGCAUAUUUUCUUUGGCCCCUACCCUGUACUUUGUCCAGUUAUCUUGAGACAUAGGAACUGAAAAGUAAUUCAGCCUCGAACCUGGUAAAGUUACCACAUAGUAAUUGCUUAUAUAUUAAUGCACCUUGCAGAUUGCAAUGUGCUCUCAUGGAUGAUUAUUGCUGGCUAAAAAUAAAAUAAAAUAAAGUAAAAUUAAGGGGAAAAAUUAGUAAAUGGCAUUUAGCUAUUCACACACCUCCUUUUGCUGCUGAUAAAGAGGGGGAUGAAAGGACUUCUCGAUUAACACGGAAGCUGGAGUCCUGAAAUUCUGUUCCUGGAUAUCGAUACAAAGUCAAUGCUUUUUAAAUUAAAAAUGAGAUGCUGCUACUUAUGACUUGAUAAGUUAUAAAAUGCCUCUUUCAUCCUUCCAAGUCAAUGGUCCCAGGCUCCACUGCAAUUAAAUUUCAGAUCUUCAGCUCAUACGGAUUGUAUUGGUACCUCGAAACAAGGACAGGGUAAAAGAGGUCUCUGUCUCUGUGCUGUUUUAGUGUGAAGGGUGGAACCUCUGAGUCCUCUGUGUUAGGUGGCAGAGGUGAGGGAAUGCUCAGGCCUCCCUUGUGAGCACUAACCAGCCCUGACUCUGAGCUCAGAGGAGACGGUGCAUUCAGGGCAGAACCACAGAGGAGGCCUCUGAUGGGCUAUCCAGUCUCAGCCCUAGACAUGCACACCUCACAGCAACACUAAUACACUUGGUAGAUUUUCUAUGUAUAUAUAUAUUACUGAAGAGGAGGUCAUGAAUAUUGAGAUGGAGUUAUAGAAAGGACUUAUGACGAGUUGGAAAAGGGAUGAAAAUAAUGUAAUACAGUCAUAUAGGAUAUUUUCAAAAGAAAAAAAUUAACUUAAAAUUUAAAAGUAUGCUUAGGCCAUACAAUGGAUUUUUGACUUCUUGUUCCCAGUGAAGAAGUCAGAAUACCAAUGUGUCAAGGUCAUCCUAAAAUAAUCUGCACCCCCACACUAUAGAAAGCCCCCCACUUCUCCCUGCACAGAGCCCAAAGUAUCUUGGGAAUCUCAUCUUGACCACUGAGAUCAAUAACCAUUACAGAAUAGAUUUUUAAGGAGUGUGCUUUAUUGCAAUUAAUCUAACUAAAUUGCAACUCCAACCAGUGUUUUUUCUGAGAGUAAGCAGUGAGAGUUGCUGCAUAUACUCAGCCAGUGGCCAUAUCAUUUGCCUGCUGUUGGGCCUGAGAUGCUCAGAGGACUUGGCGGCCCAGGGACAUCAUCUCUAAAGCAGGAGUCCAUGGCAGCCACAUCUGCAGAACUGUCCUAUGCAAACCCCAGGUGAAUGUUUGUGGGAUGCUGCCAGCAUGGUGAAGUUGUUCUCAGAAGAGACCGGGAAGCAGGUACCACCCAGCCUGCCUGACACUUCCUGCAAGGUUCGGUUGCUCAACCACACCUGCCAAGAUGCAGCACCUGGGGAACCUACAAAUGUUUAUGGACAAAUCUCCAAGCCAUAGUCAUAAAAUCUGGCAUUGCGGAAGGUGGGGCCCUUGUACUGGCAUUCCCAAAGCUGCUCUGUUCUCACAUGCUCUCAGGGUGAGAAGCAUUGCUGUGCAGUGAAUCAAACAAGAGCUUGAGCCCCACUGAUGAGGAGUCUCACUGGCUGGGGAAGGCAGCAUUCCUCCCUGUCUCCAGCCAUGGCUGGUAAGUGCUGACACGGCUGGGAGCUUCGGGGUCAGUCUGGCGCAUCACGGCUCUGAGAAGAAGUACUUGAAAUGCCUGCUUCACGUUCCUGUCUAAAGCCAGGCCUGACAACAAUCAGUCAACACCAAUUUUGUGGGAGCCUGAACUGCGUGGUGGGGGACAAACGGAGCAAAGUGGCCAAGUGAAAUGUUCUUCAUAUCUAGGACGAUUGCAUGAAGGGUAAGGUAGGGACAUACAUCUCCCCCCUUGGUGUCCCCAUGGGUGGCCAAGAGGGUGGGAGGGGCAGAAAUUUCAUGUGGACAUGUGCUAGAGGUGUCAGAAGUCCAUGGUAUCUGCUCUGCAAACACAGAACUCAAAAGCUUCCACCACAAGAGUAUAAACCACUGAGGGAAACAGAGGCAGCUCUCUCCAUUACAGCUGCUGUGGCCUCCCCAUAUGCUGGAACGCUCUUCCUGUGCAUAGAGAUUUCACAGUCACGGGAAGUACAGAUCCUAUCUCUGAGGGAAGUGGAAGCUUAGUUGGCUACCUCUAGGUUUGGAUAACCACGGGAGAUUUAUCACUGAAUCUCAACUGUGGUGUAAUUCCUGAUUCUAUUAGUGUAUUGAUUGGUUGGUUUGUUGACUGAAUGUAGUGCUGGGAAUGGAACUUAGGGUCUCACACAUGCUAGGCACAUGUUCUACCACUGCGCUGUAUUCCCAACCACUCCUGAUUUUGAGUUGCUGGUUGCUUGGGACUAUUUAUGAAAUAAAAACAUGAUUUAUUCAUCUAGAUCUCAAGAAGUUACUUCACCUGCUUAGGACACAAAGAGAAAUGGAAAAAAUCAGCAGAAAUGAGUGACAUAAUAAAGACUUACUGUGUCUCCUUUUUCUUCUUCAGAGGGUCCAUGAGACGCAGCGUGUCUCUGAUCACGGCCACCUUCACCUCCUCAUCCACCAGGCUGGGGAUAUUUUCAAACACCCCUGGAGAGAGCUUGGAAGGGCUCACAUUUCAGAGAAGAGAGGGCCGUGAGCAAGCUAACCUUACAGCAAGGUAAGAACACAGGAGCACGGGAAGGUGGGCAGAGGGGAGGGUGGGAGGACCAGGGAAGGGCUUUCGCUUUUUUUUUUUCCCUUUCCUUCCUUCCUUUUUUUGUUUUUGUUUUUUGAGACACGGUUUCUCUAUGUGACAGCUCUGUAGACCAGGCUGGCCUCGAACUCACAGAGAUCCACCUGCAUCUGCCUCCUGAGUGCUGGGAUUGAAGGCGUGCGCCACCACCGCCCAGGCUAGGGAGGAAUAUUGUCAGCUCACUGUCUUUGGACUCACACCACUUCUCAUAAGGGUGUGAAGGAUGUGUUUUCUCUUGGCUGCGUCCAAGUUGUUCUCAUCACUACUGGUUAUUUGUACCCUGAUGUAAGUCAUGGGGCAGGAUGUGUGUGAGGGGGUGGGAUGUGUGUCCCGU